AGCUCCAAUAGCGUAUAUUAAAGUUGUUGCAGUUAAAAAGCUCGUAGUUGGAUUUCUGGUGUGAGGGAACGGUCCGACCUCUGGUGGGUACUUGCUUCCUCUCACGCCAUCCUUGAGUGGUGCGUUCUGGCAUUCAGUUGUCGGGACGUUAGCCGCUCAUCGUUUACUGUGAGAAAAUUAGAGUGUUCAAAGCAGGCUUAUGCCGUUGAAUAUAUUAGCAUGGAAUAAUAAGAUAGGACUUCGGUACUAUUUUGUUGGUUUGCGCACCGAUGUAAUGAUCAAUAGGGACAGUUGGGGGUAUUCGUAUUCAGUUGUCAGAGGUGAAAUUCUUAGAUUUACGAAAGACAAACUACUGCGAAAGCAUUUACCAAGGAUGUUUUCA
RNAcentral lists this ribosomal RNA (382 nucleotides) under uncultured marine Chaetocerotaceae. RNAcentral describes it as "SSU rRNA". It matches the Rfam family "Eukaryotic small subunit ribosomal RNA", at positions 587 to 972 of the family's 1831-position model. Lineage: Eukaryota; Bacillariophyta; Thalassiosirophyceae; Chaetocerotales; Chaetocerotaceae. The record is from RNAcentral.